UGGGGAAUAUUGCACAAUGGGGGAAGACCCUGAUGCAGCGACGCCGCGUGAGUGAAGAAGUCAUUCGUGAUGUAAAGCUCUAUCAGCAGGGAAGAAAAUGACGGUACCUGACUAAGAAGCCCCGGCUAACUACGUGCCAGCAGCCGCGGUAAUACGUAGGGGCAAGCGGUUAUCCGGAUUUACUGGGUGUAAAGGGAGCGUAGACGGCGGUGCAAGCCAGAUGUGAAAGCCCGGGGCUCAACCCCGCCGACUGUGCAAUGGAACUGUUGAUCUUGAGUACCGGAGAGGUAAGCGGAAUUCCUAGUGUAGCGGUGAAAUGCGUAGAUAUUAGGAGGAACACCAGUGGCGAAGGCGGCUUACUGGACGGUAACUGACGUUGAGGCUCGAAAGCGUGGGGAGCAAACAGGAUUAGAUACC
This 417-nucleotide ribosomal RNA is filed under the name uncultured bacterium. RNAcentral describes it as "bacterial SSU rRNA". It matches the Rfam family "Bacterial small subunit ribosomal RNA", at positions 355 to 786 of the family's 1533-position model. The record is from RNAcentral.